UGUUUAUCCAACCUCAAAAAGAA
This 23-nucleotide unclassified non-coding RNA is filed under the name Dictyostelium discoideum. Lineage: Eukaryota; Evosea; Eumycetozoa; Dictyosteliales; Dictyosteliaceae. The record is from RNAcentral.